AAAAAGGAAAGAUUUCUUACACCAAAAAAAUGAAUUAUAAAGUCAUAUACUAUACACAAUGUCAAAUAAAGGCAACAGUAGUAUACCGCUGUUCAAAAUUCAUAAAUCGAUUGAGAAAAAAAAAAAUCCGGGUUACAAACUAAAACUGAGGGAAACGCAUCAAUAUAAGAGGAGAACUACGACACAAAAAACACAACACUAAAAUGUAAAACACACAGAAACGAACUAUAAUAUAACAAUGGCCAUUUUCCUGACUUGGUCAAAUCUGACAUCAAAUUCACAAAUUGAAGUCCAAUAUUUUUAUAUAUAUAUUCAAUAUGAGGGUGUGGACAUGGGUUUUACAGAAUACAGAAUAAUGGGGAAAGUACAGAGUAAAGGGCUUUAAAAAUAAAGAAUAUAGAAAAGAGCAG
This 410-nucleotide long non-coding RNA is filed under the name Mytilus galloprovincialis (Mediterranean mussel). The record is from RNAcentral. Lineage: Eukaryota; Metazoa; Mollusca; Bivalvia; Mytilida; Mytilidae.